Molecule: ribosomal RNA, 112 nt
Filed under: Pteropus alecto (black flying fox)
Lineage: Eukaryota; Metazoa; Chordata; Mammalia; Chiroptera; Pteropodidae
Source: RNAcentral
GUCUAUGGCCACACCACCCUGAACAAGCCCGAUCCCAUCUGAUCUCGGAAGCUAAGCAGGGUCAGGCCUGGUUAGCUGGGAGACCACCUAGGAAGACCAGGUGCUGUAGGUG